Molecule: ribosomal RNA, 484 nt
Filed under: uncultured bacterium
Lineage: Bacteria
Description: partial 16S ribosomal RNA
Rfam family: Bacterial small subunit ribosomal RNA
Source: RNAcentral
AGUGAACGCUGGCGGCAGGCCUAACACAUGCAAGUCGAACGGAAGAACAGUGCUUGCUUGUGGUUACAGCGGGGGACGGGUGGGUAGGGCCGAGGAAUAUCCGUGUCUACUGUUUAGAACGGCCUGACGCAGGCGCUAAUACGCCAUUAGCGCAGACGGAGUAAGGGGGGGAGCUUCGGACCUUACGCUCUCGGGUGAGCCUAGGUCGGAUUGGCUAGUUGGUGGGGUAAAGGCCUACCAAGGCGACGAUCCGUAACUGGUCUGAGAGGAUGAUCAGCCACACUGGAACUGAGACACGGUCCAGACUCCUACGGGAGGCAGCAGUGGGGAAUAUUGGACAAUGGGCGAAAGCCUGAUCCAGCCAUGCCGCGUGUGUGAAGAAGGCCUUCGGGUUGUAAAGCCCUUUUGGUUGGGAGGAAGGGCAGUAGGUUAAUACCUUGCUGUUUUGACGUUACCCACAGAAUAAGCACCGGCUAACUUCGUG